Pseudopipra pipra is the source of this 6668-nucleotide long non-coding RNA. RefSeq lists it as uncharacterized. The transcript has 2 exons. Lineage: Eukaryota; Metazoa; Chordata; Aves; Passeriformes; Pipridae. The record is from RefSeq and is a predicted model, not a curated record.
AGAGUUGAAGAGUAAGACUGAAAGCAUUCAUUCAGCCCUUUUAUGCACUAAAUUAGCAAUAUUAUUUAAGCUCUUCCAGCCCUUCCUGACUAACCCUGGGACAAAGCCACCCCAAACCAGGAGCUGGGAGCAAGGGAGCCUUGGAUAACAGCAGCCCAAAGCCACAGGAAAAAGAGGUACAUGGAGCUGAACCAAAGCUCCCUAGAAAUGAAAGGGAAAUGUUUCACAGAGACAGUAACUCCCACAUCCCUUUAUCUCCCAGGUCACCACAAGUGCUGCUAAAUAAAGACAUUUACAUGUGUUUUUCAUAGAACCACAUGGAAAUGUCAGUGUUGGAUUCUUUGGCUGUGCUUAUUUCUCUCUGCUCCAUCAUCAGCUCACUAUAAACUAAAUUCCUCAACUUUUUAAAUCAUUCAGAUUCUUGUUAAAAAGUAUUUGACUAAUCUUUAAUGAAUUAAUAUUGUCUAUGAACAGUGGGAUUAUUAGAUUUUCCCUCCAAAUAGAUAAAUUUCAAUGAUAUGUUUACUUGGAAAAAUAAAUCUGCUCACACAAUUGAAGAUUACAGGAAUUCUUGAUAAACAUCAACAGAGAGAAAUCAAUCUGCUUUCAUUUUAAAUACGACAGCCAGGCAAAAAUAAAACAAUUCUGCUUGAUAACUUGUCACUGUUAUGAGAGUGUACACUCAAAACAGGGCUUAUUUAAAUCAAAUUCUCUUCUCUGCAGACUAAAAACUUGCUGGUUUUUUUUUUCCCUUCUUUUUUUAGUAGAUGUUUGAUUUCUGCUUUUCUACUCACAGGAAUUUUUGACUAUUAUUUUAGUCUCACGAAAUACUAUUUGAUGGGAACAUAUUGGUGGUAUUUUAUUUCACAAUAAUGUGAGAGUUUAAUUUUUUAAUUUGAGGAGUUAAGGCCUGAUUCUGCCCUCGGUCCUGCCAAGAUAAAUCAGGACCAACUCCACCAAAAUGAAUGAACUCACAACCACAUCAUUGAAAUCGGAGUUUAUGUGCACCACAAACACACUCAACACACAGGCACAGGGUUCAAAAAUAGCUCAGAAUAACAAAACUAAAGCAACUCACCUCGAGAAGAAAAUACACUGGAUUUACACCUGAGCUCUAAAUUAUAUUCAGAUUAUUAUUUCAAAAUAGAUCAUAAAAGAUAUCACAGCAGCCACAAUAUGCUUUGAAAACUAAACUGCUCCCAAGAACUCAUCUGCAACCCACAUAAAAACGGGAGUUUUCCUCCACAGCCCCUAUUUAGCUGAUUUUCUCAAGCCUUUUGUAAAGAUCUGGGAGGCCAAGGAGUGCCAGAUGAACUCUGCUCGUUGUCAAUUAGCACUGUUACAUCAGAAUUUCACUAUUAGUGAUUUUUCUGAUUAGAAGCUUUCUGUAAAAAGGAUCAUUUUGGUUGCUCCUGUUUCAUCCUCGUGCAGAGGCACCUCCAGUUCUCCCUGGCAGCACACAACACCAAUGCCUGCAGUUCACAGACAGACCUCACACCAACUGUUAACCAUGAAGGAAAGGAGGAUUCCCAUGACCACAGUGAAAUAUAACUCUGAUAAAAAUGUAUCAUCACCAAGUGAUAUAACUCAAGGUUGAGAUGAUUAAAAAACCAGGCAAAUACAAGACUUGCCAAAAAUCCAUGCCUCUGUUGGGGGCAGGAGAAAGGAAAAGACCCCCAAAAAAGGUGAUGAUGAAGUAGUGCUUCCCCCAGUCCUGGUCAGUGUGAGGAGCUCACUGCAGCAGGAGGGACCAGCUGAUGGUGGGUGGCUGCAGGGGAAAGGUCAGAGAAAUACAGUUCCAUUUACAACACAUUUUAGUGCUUGGAAGCCAUUCUGUGGAGUUAUCCAGUCUCAGGCAGGGCAAGUGCCAGCUGGGAACAAUCCCUCCUCUCCUCGUGUGCAGCCCUGCACCCUCAGCCUGGCACGGUGAAGGACUCACUGACAAUAACCACCACCAUGGAAUGCUGAAAGGAAAAUCCAGUGCAAACAUGGCACCACCACAGCUGGAGCACAGCUCUUCCACAUGGCAAAGAGGGACUUUUCCCGUGCCAGCCGUGGGCUCUCUCCUGAGCUGGGAUCCUACAGCUCCACACUGGACGGGCCCAACGGCUCACGGGUACGGAACACGGGCAGAGCUGGCAGGAGGCAAUGAUCAGGACUGGUGGAAUGGGAUGAGGGCUGGGGUCCUGAUCCAGUGGGGAGGAUGGAAGAUGCAAGGGAAGUUCACCACAAGGUACGGGCGGGACAGGAAACGGUGGUGGCAGGAGAUGAGGUACCUGGUCGGAAGCAAAAGGUUCCAAGCUUGCAGUGAGGAGAACGUGUGGCAGGAGAGGGGACGGGGAGUUUUACUCUUCUCUCACAUCUGUGUGGCAGAAAAAGAGAGUCACAACGGUGAGGGCCUGACAAGUAGGUGUGGGGGAACACGUCUCUGAAGUUCUGGUGUGGAGAACAGCCAAAAUGAAACAGCCCUUCCCGGCCACACUCCUCAGCCAUGACAGAAAGUUGUAACACUCCUCUUAUUUUUGCUGCUUCUGGACAUUCCUGGCAGGACAGAAUAAGCUUGGAGAGGUGGUUGUACGAAUCUAUCCAAUCUUCUCCUUGUUAAAACCUGACUCUUGUUUCCCUUACAGCCACCUCCUGCUCUUUCUUGUGCUGGGCACACAUUUCUAAUCCAACUCUCAGGAACUAAACCAUCUCUUUAUUUAUUUCACACUGUAAAGUUCCACCCAUUUUUUGCCAGACCGGUUAUAUUUUCCUUUUAUUAUUUAGGAUUUACAGUUUGUCCUGCACACAGUCUUUGGGAAACACAUAUCAAACUGCAGCAAAUCAAUAAUUCAUUUGACCAACAACAAAAAAAAUCCUGCAGGCUCCCUGUGAAUCCUAACUAUGCAUGGACAGGUGCCAAAUAAACCUCUUGAUCCAGAGCCAUUUAGAGCUCUGUUCUCUGGAAGCAGGCUCAGAAGGAAUGUGUUUCCAUAGGUGUUUAUAUUCCUGCACAUCCUUCCUCACAAAAUGAACCCUGCAUAUAUUCCAGUCAACCCUUGCAUGUAACAGAGCAGGAACAAUGGCCAGGCAGAGCUGUGUCUUUAAUAUCAAACAGCAGCAGCUCUGUCAGAGCAGGGGGAGAACAGGAAGAAGUGCAGAGCUUUCCCUGCCCUCCCCCAGUGCCAGCACUGCCCUGGACAAACAGUGCCCAAGCGUUCUGAUGGAUCUCGAGGAGCACAUGUUGGAAUAACCCCGUGUGAGGGGCACAGAGAGGCCUGUCAGAAGUCCCCACUGCUGCAGGAAGCAGCUUUCCUGUUCCAGAUGUAGCUACAAGUCCUGCCUGGAUUUUGGUGGAGCCCCCGAUGUGGUGGGUGGCAACUCUGCUCCGAGUCGCUGCGAAACACUGAGAAGGAGGAGUGGAAUCAUCUCAGAAUCGAUGGCAAACACAAAUAUCUGCUGGAGGGAAUUCAGCACAGACAGUUCAUACUCUUAUGUUCAUCAAUGGUAGCAAAUUAAAACUGGUCCUACACACUCAAUGCCCGGGCCUGGAGUAUUUAAAAGCCCUCAAUAUGUGAAGCGUGGUGUAUCUCCAGAGAAAUUAGGUAUUGACUGCACGCCUCAGUGAGCAGGGAAUCUGCAAAAAUCCAUAGCAGCCAUUGAUCCAAAUAUUACUUUUUAACACUAACUAUGUAACAAUUUUUUAAAUGUACACUGGGUACAGUUAUAAUUCUCUUUAAUUAUCAAUCAACAAGCCAAAGUGUAACACUGUUUAUACAGCAUGGUCUUUAAAAAUGGAUCCAGUGACUACACUCCAACCCGAUGCCCAAACUAUCAAUGCAGUUGUGCUACAGGAAAUUGGUAUCCAAAUAGACAGGGUUUCAAUUUAAAACACCCACACACUGGUUGGGAUGGGAUCCUGCCACCAAAUACUGGCUUCAUGAAAGGAGGUUAUAUCAGCUCCAAGCAUUGCCAAGAGGCACUUUUGAAAGCAACAAACUCAUAAUUUUAUUAAAGUUUCAGCAUGUACCUCAAAUUUCUGUAUAUAUUCAGUAGCUGCUUCAUGAGGAAGUCAAAAUGUGCUCAUUUGUCUGGCUCAGUGCUGCUCAGGGAGGUUGAGAUAUUUAUGUUGCUACACACAUUUGGGAAAUGCCCGCUGGAAAGGAUCUCAUUUAUACAAAAUAACAUUUAAAAAUUAGAAUUACAUUCCUGGAGCAUCGAAAUUAAAAAAAAACUCCACUGUGAAAAGCUGGGUACCACCAGAAUGAGGGCUGUCUAUGCAGCUCUUAUUUGCCAGCAGUGUUUAAACACUUUCCAGAAGAACACCUGAAUGUCCUGAAACUUCUCCACAACUCCAAACCUCACAACAAGGGAUGAGGGAAACCAGUCACUGUGUUCUGCCCUCUGGACCUGGGCACUCUCCAACAGAAGUGGCUGCAGAGGCACCUUUUCCCUGGGAUGUUGAGAGAUCUGCUGCAAAUGGGAAAACUGGUAAUUUGACCUUAAUGGGUUCAGGCUGUUUGUCGUGGUUUAACCCCAGCCAGCAGAUAAAACACCACAGAGCCACUCGCUCACCCCCUGCCCCUCCCUGGUGGGAUGGGAAGCAAAACUGGGGGAAAAAAGGAAAAAUUGAGGGGUUGAGAUAAGCACAGUUUAAUACUUGAAAUGAAAUUCAAAAAAUAAUAAUUAAAAGGGAGACAAUAAAGAGAGAGGGGAAUAAAAUCCAGGAGAGACAGGUGGUGCACAAUACAGUUGCUCAGCACCCACCUGAGCAGUGAUGGGCCCCUCCCAGCACACCCCCCAGAUUAUCCACUGCCCAGGUCAUCCCAUGUUAUGGAAAAGCCCUUUGGCCAGCUCAGCUCAGCUCCCUCCCAGCUCCUUGUGCAGCCCCUCACUGGCAGGGCAUGGGAACUCCACAGUCCUGGAUUUAGGGAAAGCAUCACUCAGCAACAACCAAACCAUCCUGUGUUAUCAGUGCUGUUCUCACCCUAAACCCAAACCACAGCACUGCACCAGCUACUGGGAUGAAAAUUAACUCUCUUUUGGUUUCUGGAGUCCUCCACUUUUAACCACUUCCAUCCUGGCUUUAGCCACUUGAAGGGGUUUAUCUAAGCCACAGAUUGCAAAACUCACCUCACACCCCAGUCUCUAAGACUUCCCUGCACUUUCAAACAAAAGGAAUUACCUGUCCUGUAAUCCCAUACUGUGACCAGACACUUCCAAACUAGAUGUUAUAACCAUCCAACUGCCAAAUCCCAAACACUCCAGCUUCCACUACUCUUCAAAGAGCAUCCACAUCAAACACCAGUGCACAGCCACAGUGCUCACACCACCAGGCAAAGCAGAGUCAGAGCUCCAGAAAACACCCUGUGCGCUUGGCAGGGCCAGAAGAGCCCAGAACAGAUCCCUCCUCACCACAAAACACUUUUUAGCAGGUGAAAAGGUGCAAUUGUCUCAGCAGGAAAUACUUGACAGUCUUAUUUCAUUUUUCCUAAUGACCAGAGUUAAACGAUUGCAGGUUUUAACAGCUCCGGCAAAUUAUCAGGCCCCUCUACAUUACAUGGUCAAUGGGCCUUUUAAUAGAAAAAGCAAUAAUAUACAGUUGUUUGUGCCAACUAAAACUCAUUAGAAAGUAUUAGUUUAAGGUAACAGUUCAGCAGCUAUUAACAAGCACAAAUUUCUGCACUUAUCCCUCGUGCCAGGCUGGCAGCAGCAAACCAGUCCUUUUUAGAAGAUCUUCGGGGUGGAGAGGGGGAGAGGGGAAAGAAAAGUUAACAAAAAGACACUUUCAUAGCAAGAGUCAAACUUUUUCAAUAAUGACCAUUUUUUUCACUAGCAUAACAUUAGAAUUGACUUUUUGUCUUGCUGACAUAGCAACUAAGAAAGUUGUGUUGCAUUGACCAUAUUGAUUGCGAACAAUGCAGCCAUCAGUGGGACUUUACACCAUAUAUUUUCAAUAUUGACCUCCCAGUCCCUUUUCCAUGGCUCCAUGGGUCUGCUAUUGGAUUUGGACUGCAGUGUAAUAAACAGCUAAGGUUUAAUUAAUGGUAAAUGAAUACAAGACAUAGGUUAUGACUUUAACUAAUUAGGGAAUUGUUGAAUUAAGUCUGCCUUGGAAUGCAAGGCAGUACAAUCAAUAUCCAAUAAAAGGACUAUGUAUGUAAUUUACCUGCAAAUGUGUUUCCAAUACCAUCAAAGUGAGUUUAAAUAAGUAAGAUAUAUGAAAGGCUACUGGAAAAAGAUUUCAAAAAGUUAACGCUUUAUGGCUUCAAAAAAGGUUUUUCUCCUUGCAGAAGGAAUGUCAUCCUUGAAAUAUCCUCCCAUAACACAGAUGGUGACACUCAGGCACAGCUCUCCCUAAAGGACAGUGCACACUCAAAAUGUUUUUCCUUCCCAAUGCAACAUUAGCAAACAGUGCAGCAAACACCAACCAGUGCUCCCAACAUGGACCAAUUCAAUGUAAUGGUGAGCUCUUCUCAGGGGGUCUUGGUCUGCAGAGCCUUCCAGGGUCCAUCCUGCCACCCCCCUUCCCUCCCAGCCCUGAGAAACAUUCCCAGGAACAGGAGGAGGUCACCACCCGAGGGGCAGAGCAGUCCCCAGCCUGCUCCUGCUGUGUACAUCAGCUCCCACGGCCCCAUUCCUCAUUCUGUAGUCACUCAUCUGAAAUAAAAAAAGAGACCUACCUA